This is a long non-coding RNA of Cimex lectularius (bed bug), 1029 nucleotides long. RefSeq lists it as uncharacterized. The transcript has 3 exons. The record is from RefSeq and is a predicted model, not a curated record. Lineage: Eukaryota; Metazoa; Arthropoda; Insecta; Hemiptera; Cimicidae.
UUAGAAACUUAGCAAUUUGGAAAUAAUGGUUCUUAGAGAGAUUGUUACUUUUGAAGUCCUACCGUCUGUUUAUGUCUAGUUUUCCCGCUGUAAACAAAACAUCGGGAUUAUUAAAAUUGAAAUUAACCCUUUUUAUUCAAAAAUGUCGCUGGAAUCGAUAUCAGUAAGGGACCGCGUGACCGAUAUGAACGAACGGUUCUGCCAGGCGAAACCUGUUCAAAUCGGUUGCGAGGUUAGACGAAUUGAUCUCGAAACAGGCAUCAAGCCCGAAGAAUUUGUCUCUACGCCCUGGCAAGACUUCAGGAUUUUAUUUAAUAACCACAACAAAAUUUUAUCGCAAUAUUAAAAUUCAUGGAGGGUGCAUGGGAGACGAUGGGAUUUUACGAUCAUAAUCGCAAAUGGGAACAUGGUGAUUUUACUCUUGCCCAUAAGUACACAGACAUUUCUCAUCUUCUGCACAUGGUUUGUUGGUGGUGACUCAGAAAUGUAGCACAGAUCAACGGUUAAGGGGUAUUUCAGACCCGUCAGAUAGUAGCAGCCAUGUGAUACUAUGCCAGCUACAUCCUUGCUUUAAAUUUAUUUAUCCUACAAUUUUCCUAACAAAGGGCUUUAUGCUGUAAAUUGCUAUUGACAGUUUUUUUAAAGCUUAUGUAUAUAAUGUAUCCUCUGAUUAUCCAAGAUGCUAUUUAAAUUUCUAAGCCAUUUAAGUAAUUUUUCUAAUAUUUGAAUAUAAUCCUAGCCCUUAUCUCAUUCAAUUUUAUGCCUGUAUCAAAUUAACUCCUUUAUAACAUUUUUACAUCGACUAGGUCCUCACCGAGUCUUUUGAUACCAAAUGUAGUAGAAUUGAAAGUGUUUCUUUUACACUGCCUGGAACUUCUUGAACUGAUGGAAUACAAAUUCAUUUGUUUAUGAAUAUGAGUGUAAUUAAUUGUCCGACCCACUCAAUCUUCAAAUCCCUUUGGAAAUGUAGAUUCUAAAUGGACAACUCUCAUUUUUUUUUUAAAUAUGCAAAGAAUAUCUUGUACAUAA